This 2903-nucleotide ribosomal RNA is filed under the name Escherichia coli KTE12. RNAcentral describes it as "bacterial LSU rRNA". It matches the Rfam family "Bacterial large subunit ribosomal RNA". The record is from RNAcentral. Lineage: Bacteria; Pseudomonadati; Pseudomonadota; Gammaproteobacteria; Enterobacterales; Enterobacteriaceae.
UUAAGCGACUAAGCGUACACGGUGGAUGCCCUGGCAGUCAGAGGCGAUGAAGGACGUGCUAAUCUGCGAUAAGCGUCGGUAAGGUGAUAUGAACCGUUAUAACCGGCGAUUUCCGAAUGGGGAAACCCAGUGUGAUUCGUCACACUAUCAUUAACUGAAUCCAUAGGUUAAUGAGGCGAACCGGGGGAACUGAAACAUCUAAGUACCCCGAGGAAAAGAAAUCAACCGAGAUUCCCCCAGUAGCGGCGAGCGAACGGGGAGGAGCCCAGAGCCUGAAUCAGUGUGUGUGUUAGUGGAAGCGUCUGGAAAGGCGCGCGAUACAGGGUGACAGCCCCGUACACAAAAAUGCACAUGCUGUGAGCUCGAUGAGUAGGGCGGGACACGUGGUAUCCUGUCUGAAUAUGGGGGGACCAUCCUCCAAGGCUAAAUACUCCUGACUGACCGAUAGUGAACCAGUACCGUGAGGGAAAGGCGAAAAGAACCCCGGCGAGGGGAGUGAAAAAGAACCUGAAACCGUGUACGUACAAGCAGUGGGAGCACAGAGCAAUCUGUGUGACUGCGUACCUUUUGUAUAAUGGGUCAGCGACUUAUAUUCUGUAGCAAGGUUAACCGAAUAGGGGAGCCGAAGGGAAACCGAGUCUUAACUGGGCGUUAAGUUGCAGGGUAUAGACCCGAAACCCGGUGAUCUAGCCAUGGGCAGGUUGAAGGUUGGGUAACACUAACUGGAGGACCGAACCGACUAAUGUUGAAAAAUUAGCGGAUGACUUGUGGCUGGGGGUGAAAGGCCAAUCAAACCGGGAGAUAGCUGGUUCUCCCCGAAAGCUAUUUAGGUAGCGCCUCGUGAAUUCAUCUCCGGGGGUAGAGCACUGUUUCGGCAAGGGGGUCAUCCCGACUUACCAACCCGAUGCAAACUGCGAAUACCGGAGAAUGUUAUCAGGGGAGACACACGGCGGGUGCUAACGUCCGUCGUGAAGAGGGAAACAACCCAGACCGCCAGCUAAGGUCCCAAAGUCAUGGUUAAGUGGGAAACGAUGUGGGAAGGCCCAGACAGCCAGGAUGUUGGCUUAGAAGCAGCCAUCAUUUAAAGAAAGCGUAAUAGCUCACUGGUCGAGUCGGCCUGCGCGGAAGAUGUAACGGGGCUAAACCAUGCACCGAAGCUGCGGCAGCGACACUAUGUGUUGUUGGGUAGGGGAGCGUUCUGUAAGCCUGUGAAGGUGUACUGUGAGGUAUGCUGGAGGUAUCAGAAGUGCGAAUGCUGACAUAAGUAACGAUAAAGCGGGUGAAAAGCCCGCUCGCCGGAAGACCAAGGGUUCCUGUCCAACGUUAAUCGGGGCAGGGUGAGUCGACCCCUAAGGCGAGGCCGAAAGGCGUAGUCGAUGGGAAACAGGUUAAUAUUCCUGUACUUGGUGUUACUGCGAAGGGGGGACGGAGAAGGCUAUGUUGGCCGGGCGACGGUUGUCCCGGUUUAAGCGUGUAGGCUGGUUUUCCAGGCAAAUCCGGAAAAUCAAGGCUGAGGCGUGAUGACGAGGCACUACGGUGCUGAAGCAACAAAUGCCCUGCUUCCAGGAAAAGCCUCUAAGCAUCAGGUAACAUCAAAUCGUACCCCAAACCGACACAGGUGGUCAGGUAGAGAAUACCAAGGCGCUUGAGAGAACUCGGGUGAAGGAACUAGGCAAAAUGGUGCCGUAACUUCGGGAGAAGGCACGCUGAUAUGUAGGUGAAGUCCCUCGCGGAUGGAGCUGAAAUCAGUCGAAGAUACCAGCUGGCUGCAACUGUUUAUUAAAAACACAGCACUGUGCAAACACGAAAGUGGACGUAUACGGUGUGACGCCUGCCCGGUGCCGGAAGGUUAAUUGAUGGGGUUAGCGCAAGCGAAGCUCUUGAUCGAAGCCCCGGUAAACGGCGGCCGUAACUAUAACGGUCCUAAGGUAGCGAAAUUCCUUGUCGGGUAAGUUCCGACCUGCACGAAUGGCGUAAUGAUGGCCAGGCUGUCUCCACCCGAGACUCAGUGAAAUUGAACUCGCUGUGAAGAUGCAGUGUACCCGCGGCAAGACGGAAAGACCCCGUGAACCUUUACUAUAGCUUGACACUGAACAUUGAGCCUUGAUGUGUAGGAUAGGUGGGAGGCUUUGAAGUGUGGACGCCAGUCUGCAUGGAGCCGACCUUGAAAUACCACCCUUUAAUGUUUGAUGUUCUAACGUUGACCCGUAAUCCGGGUUGCGGACAGUGUCUGGUGGGUAGUUUGACUGGGGCGGUCUCCUCCUAAAGAGUAACGGAGGAGCACGAAGGUUGGCUAAUCCUGGUCGGACAUCAGGAGGUUAGUGCAAUGGCAUAAGCCAGCUUGACUGCGAGCGUGACGGCGCGAGCAGGUGCGAAAGCAGGUCAUAGUGAUCCGGUGGUUCUGAAUGGAAGGGCCAUCGCUCAACGGAUAAAAGGUACUCCGGGGAUAACAGGCUGAUACCGCCCAAGAGUUCAUAUCGACGGCGGUGUUUGGCACCUCGAUGUCGGCUCAUCACAUCCUGGGGCUGAAGUAGGUCCCAAGGGUAUGGCUGUUCGCCAUUUAAAGUGGUACGCGAGCUGGGUUUAGAACGUCGUGAGACAGUUCGGUCCCUAUCUGCCGUGGGCGCUGGAGAAUUGAGGGGGGCUGCUCCUAGUACGAGAGGACCGGAGUGGACGCAUCACUGGUGUUCGGGUUGUCAUGCCAAUGGCACUGCCCGGUAGCUAAAUGCGGAAGAGAUAAGUGCUGAAAGCAUCUAAGCACGAAACUUGCCCCGAGAUGAGUUCUCCCUGACUCCUUGAGAGUCCUGAAGGAACGUUGAAGACGACGACGUUGAUAGGCCGGGUGUGUAAGCGCAGCGAUGCGUUGAGCUAACCGGUACUAAUGAACCGUGAGGCUUAACCUU